AAACUUGAGAGUUUGAUCCUGGCUCAGAACGAACGCUGGCGGCAUGCCUAACACAUGCAAGUCGAACGAACCCUUCGGGGUUAGUGGCGCACGGGUGCGUAACGCGUGGGAACCUGCCUUUAGGUUCGGAAUAACUCAGAGAAAUUUGAGCUAAUACCGGAUAAUGUCUUCGGACCAAAGAUUUAUCGCCUUUAGAUGGGCCCGCGUUAGAUUAGAUAGUUGGUGGGGUAAUGGCCUACCAAGUCGACGAUCUAUAGCUGGUCUGAGAGGAUGAUCAGCCACACUGGGACUGAGACACGGCCCAGACUCCUACGGGAGGCAGCAGUGGGGAAUAUUGGACAAUGGGCGAAAGCCUGAUCCAGCAAUGCCGCGUGAGUGAUGAAGGCCUUAGGGUUGUAAAGCUCUUUUACCAGGGAUGAUAAUGACAGUACCUGGAGAAUAAGCUCCGGCUAACUCCGUGCCAGCAGCCGCGGUAAUACGGAGGAUCCAAGCGUUAUCCGGAAUCAUUGGGUUUAAAGGGUCCGUAGGUGGAUAAUUAAGUCAGAGGUGAAAGUCUGCAGCUCAACUGUAGAAUUGCCUUUGAUACUGGUUAUCUUGAGUUAUUAUGAAGUAGUUAGAAUAUGUAGUGUAGCGGAGAAAUGCAUAGAUAUUACAUAGAAUACCAAUUGCGAAGGCAGAUUACUAAUAAUAUACUGACACUGAUGGACGAAAG
Molecule: ribosomal RNA, 712 nt
Filed under: Altererythrobacter sp.
Lineage: Bacteria; Pseudomonadati; Pseudomonadota; Alphaproteobacteria; Sphingomonadales; Erythrobacteraceae
Description: bacterial SSU rRNA
Rfam family: Bacterial small subunit ribosomal RNA
Source: RNAcentral